AGAGUUUGUAGUCCUGGCGUCAGGAUGAACGCUGCGGCGUGCCUAAUACAUGCAAGUCGAGCGACACUCGGUGGGAAGCGGCGAACGGGUGAGUAACACGUAGGUAAUCUGCCCAUCAGACGGGGACAACGAUUGGAAACGAUACGCUAAUACCGGAUAGGACGAAAGUUUAAAGAUGCUCCUGGCAUCACUGAUGGAUGAGCCUGCGGCGCAUUAGCUAGUUGGUGGGGUAAAGGCCUACCAAGGCGACGAUGCGUAGCCGACCUGAGAGGGUGAACGGCCACACUGGGACUGAGACACGGCCCAGACUCCUACGGGAGGCAGCAGUAGGGAAUCUUCGGCAAUGGGCGAAAGCCUGACCGAGCAACGCCGCGUGAAUGAAGAAGGCCUUCGGGUUGUAAAAUUCUGUUAUAAGGGAAGAAAGGUGAUAGGAGGAACUGACUAUCAAUUGACGGUACCUUAUGAGAAAGCCACGGCUAACUACGUG
This 487-nucleotide ribosomal RNA is filed under the name uncultured Turicibacter sp. RNAcentral describes it as "bacterial SSU rRNA". It matches the Rfam family "Bacterial small subunit ribosomal RNA", at positions 1 to 507 of the family's 1533-position model. Lineage: Bacteria; Bacillati; Bacillota; Erysipelotrichia; Erysipelotrichales; Turicibacteraceae. The record is from RNAcentral.